Molecule: non-coding RNA, 740 nt
Organism: Peromyscus maniculatus bairdii (prairie deer mouse)
Lineage: Eukaryota; Metazoa; Chordata; Mammalia; Rodentia; Cricetidae
Source: RefSeq, a predicted model, not a curated record
UCUUGACCAGUUCAUUGGAUGUGGGAAGACUCUGAAAGUGGACUGCACCUUUCCCUGGUCUGGGGCUCCAGACCAUAGAGUAGACAAAGCUGAGUACUAAGCAUGAAUGCUUUCAUUUCUCUCUGCCUUGACUGCGGAUGUGAUAUAACUGGCUGUUGAAUUCUUGCUGCAUUGACUUCCCUGCUGCAACGGAAUGUAACUUGGAAUUAGAGCUCCCAGCUUCAGACCGACACUUCCUGCUGUCUCCUGCUUUCAAUUGGGAGGAUGGAAAAUGUUCCUGAAACUGUUGAUGACACGACACGGCCAAGACGGAGUGAGAACAUUCCAGAGCCACCAGCACGCGGGCAAUGACUCUCUCCUCUGCAGGGAAGGCGGGCGAAGGCAAGGACGUUUAAAGGCAGCACUUUGUAGGUGUGCUGGGAGCACACGCCUACUCUGAGUAGUCCAAUUAAGGAAGGCGCCAGCUUGCAGACUCUCUUCUUAGGUCUUAUUUGCCGUAAACAGCCAGGGUACCUCUCUGAGAGGCUUCCACCGGGUGACUGUUACCCUGGCCAUGAGUUAGUUCCCUCGACGCCACGACUCACGUUCACUUUGUGCUCUUCUACCAUACUCAGACACGCUGAUUCUUCCACAUGUGUAUGCACACGCACUCAGCUCUUCUCUGAGACUCUGUCUCCCCUCGUUCUCAAGUCCCAUCCCUAUCUACUCUGGCAGUCCAGCUCGCAUUCUUUCCUGCUGAC